AGGUUUUAACAAAAGGGUUGUUCAAUGAGACGCUUUUUGUUGGGCUAUUUGCUUUGUUCAAUUAAUUAACUGUUUUAUUUUUUAAUCUUUGUCAAUUAAUUUGUUAAUGUGUUCAUUUUAUCAACAUUUUAAAGUUAACAAGUAACAAUGACCAGUCAGUAGGCUCUUCACAGCUGGUGCCAAGGCUGAUUCAAUUUAAUGUCUUCAAACUAUUACAUGGCUAUAUGAUUAAUGGUACAGUUGUUGGAUAUGGUUACAGUCAGGCCACCAGGACUAGAGAUUCAACUGGCAGCUUUAAAUCUCAAGUUGAAAGAGGAAAACAAUUGUUUAACUGGAUGACUGCAAUUGGCUUUUUUUACAUUUCUGCCAGUUUAUCACAAAUUUCAAGCUGUCAACAUAUAUAAACUUUGAAUAUUACAUGAUGCUUUUGGUGGACCAAUAUAUUUAAACCCAGAUUUGUGACAUCCUUAACAUGCCCAACCGCAGACUACCUUCCUGUCAGCAAGUCUUCACCAUCUAAACCUUAAAAUGUCGAGUUUUGUCUGUUACCUUCAUCCUGCAGUUAUUGCAUUACAAUGGUUUAUUUAACAACCUCAACUUGACCCUUUUGCUGAUAAAAUUUUGUCCACUGGAAAGUUGAUUGCUGAUUCUACCCUCAUCUCAAUGGAAAAAAGCUGUUGCAAAAAUUGGUUAAAUUUCUCGCAAUUAAAGUGUUCUUCUCUUAACCAUCGUUAAACCAAAUAUAAUAAUAGAUAUUAUUUACUCGAUGGAAGAAAAGAUAAAAAAUAAUUUCAUCAAUGAAAGUUAACUCAACUUGUAAUAGACUUCCUUUUUUACUCGCCUUUAUCCGCCUUCUUCUUGUCUUUAACUUAUCAUUUCAGGGAUAAGAAUUUUCGCCUCUUUUUUCUACUCUCUUACCAUUUCUUGAUUGAUUGUGAACAAAACGGUAAUAAUAAUGAUAAUAAUGAAAAUAAGUUGAGAAAUGAAAAGGCGGCUUUGUGUUCACCAAAAUGUUACUUUAGUCACACAAAAAGGUAUCAAUGGUUCAGAAAUUAUUCAGGAAAUGAGAAAUUUUGUUUUUCUUUUCUUCAUUUACUCCUCUUCUUCAGGCCUGCAAGCUCAAAAUGGAAACCUCUUUACUCCAAUAUUUUCAAGAAUAUUCAAUUUCGCAUUCAAAGCUUAUUUAAACAACAAACAUUCAAUCCUUGAAUUUAACCUUUCAAUUUACUCACAUAUUCAUUAUCAUCAAUUGAUACUUGAUUCUUUAUUUGUUCAUUCAAUGAAAAUGAAUCAUCUUUUUUUCACCAAAACGCCUUAUUGUAUUAAAAUGAAAACUUGAUAAAUUACUGCUUAACAAACAAUAAGAAGACAAUAAUAG
This is a long non-coding RNA of Tetranychus urticae (two-spotted spider mite), 1378 nucleotides long. RefSeq lists it as uncharacterized. The record is from RefSeq and is a predicted model, not a curated record. Lineage: Eukaryota; Metazoa; Arthropoda; Arachnida; Trombidiformes; Tetranychidae.